CAGUACUUUAUGACUCACCCUCUGUCAAAUGAUUAUUGGUAAAGUGAUGUAAACCAGCUCGUGCUAGAUAGUGGUGGAAAGCAAAUUGGAGCUUGUUAACUAAACUUACAUUGCAUCUUAAUUAAAUUCCUAUGAUGUUUACCUGUAUUCUGCACACACAGUUACAUUUGCGUAGAACCUUUACGAGCCAAGCAGAAGGGAGUCUUUGGGUUCAACACAACUGCCGUCUUUCUGUCUGAGCUGAUCUCUUGUUUGUCUCUUAUGAAUAGUUUUAUAAUAGCACAAGACAUGACUGAGUUAAUCUUCAGAUGAAUGCUCAGGCACAGGAAGUACAAUGUCCAUUGUGGUGGGGGACUGGACUGACAGCCUCAUAGAUUAAGUGACUUAAUAACAGAGUGGCUGUGACUGGUUGAGUGGGUGCAGUCUGUAGGGACCGUUAAUGAGGCGUGUCUAUAGUAAGUCUGGAUUGCUUGGUAAUGUUUUGUGGAAACGGGAAUAGAAAAACAAGGAGGCAGAUAUUAAGACUGAAGGUAAUUGAUGAAUGUUUUUUUGUUUUGUUUUGUUUUUUUGUUUUUUUUUAUGUUAGGAGCUGCUUUAGUGACCACAUGUUAGUGCACCUUUAUUAUUUCCUGGCCUUAAUACGUCCUGCACACCUCAAUGUUUUAUGCAGUCUUUUUAUUGCGCAGAACUGCACAAGAAAAACGUAUACGUGUUUGUGAGCCCAAAGCUAUUUAAAAUGCGUACAGCCCAGUGAAUUUGAACCUGUCCAGAGGACAGAGAUGACUUCAUCAUUACCUCACCCUGCUCUGCUAGAGGACUUAUCAAAAACAUGUGGCUCCACUCUCCCUUCUCACUGCAAAUUGAUUGAGUCUUGGACUCGAGUGUUUUCCUUUUGUUGGGGAAUGUGUGCGUUUGUGCACAUGCUGGCUUAAUUUUAUCAUCUUAGAUUUACUUUUCUCUCUCUGUCAUUCAUUUGGCAUGUUUCGGCAAGUUGCUCUGGGUUUGGUCAGACAGGAUGGAGGCCCACAAGGUUGGAGAGGAUGAAACGCCAUGCUGUUUAAGCAUGUGUAUGUGUGUCUAUUACACCCAAUGAGACAAGAUGGCAAAUGUAUUGCGGUGGCAUUUUAAUUUGGCUGUAUUAUUACCCAGGUGAACAAUAUAGCUUUGUAGACUUUAAAUCUGAAAUUUAAGGCUCAUUGUUUGUUUUACAGAAAGCAAUGCAAACCACCUAAAAUAUUUUAAGUUUUUAUUAUUGUUAUCAUUUGAGCUACAAUGUUAUCUGAAUGGAAAAUUGUUUUGAGUAGGACUGAGUGAUAUGAUCAACCAGCCUCUCAGUCCAAAAUCCAGGGAUAUUUAAAAUCCAGUGAUAUU
Molecule: long non-coding RNA, 1371 nt
Organism: Astatotilapia calliptera (eastern happy)
Lineage: Eukaryota; Metazoa; Chordata; Actinopteri; Cichliformes; Cichlidae
Source: Ensembl